GUGGGUAUAGCUCAGUGGUGGAGCACAUGCUUGGUAUGCAGGAUGUCCUGGGUUCAAUCCACAGUACCUCCA
Molecule: transfer RNA, 72 nt
Filed under: Camelus bactrianus (Bactrian camel)
Lineage: Eukaryota; Metazoa; Chordata; Mammalia; Artiodactyla; Camelidae
Also listed under: 1 other name
Rfam family: tRNA
About the family: Transfer RNA (tRNA) molecules are approximately 80 nucleotides in length. Their secondary structure includes four short double-helical elements and three loops (D, anti-codon, and T loops).
Source: Rfam by way of RNAcentral